ACGGUGAUAGCAAGGAAGAAGAGAGUGGUGUCCGUACCGAUCGGUGACGUGGAAGGAUCUAAGAGCAAAGGGGAAGCAUAUCCACCGUCCGAUCCAUGGGCAUGGAGGAAAUACGGCCAAAAGCCAAUCAAAGGCUCUCCUUAUCCCAGGGGAUAUUAUCGAUGUAGUAGCUCCAAGGGCUGCCCAGCAAGAAAGCAAGUAGAAAGAAGCCGUGUGGACCCCACCAAGCUCGUUAUUACCUACGCUUUCGACCACAAUCACCAACUCCCGGCCACCAAAUCUCACCACCACCACCACAAUUCCUCCCCAUCCUCCGCCGCGAUCGCCGCCG
Molecule: unclassified non-coding RNA, 331 nt
Filed under: Hevea brasiliensis (rubber tree)
Lineage: Eukaryota; Viridiplantae; Streptophyta; Magnoliopsida; Malpighiales; Euphorbiaceae
Source: RNAcentral